RNAcentral lists this ribosomal RNA (666 nucleotides) under Eremocarya micrantha. RNAcentral describes it as "eukaryotic LSU rRNA". The stretch from base 238 to 393 matches the Rfam family "5.8S ribosomal RNA". The record is from RNAcentral. Lineage: Eukaryota; Viridiplantae; Streptophyta; Magnoliopsida; Boraginales; Boraginaceae.
UUGUCGAUCCUGCAUAGCAGUACCACUCGCGAACAAGUUCACAAACAAGUGCCAAACCAAGUGUAGGGGAUUCCUUGCAUUUGAUUUGGUUCCUUAAUGGUACUAGGACAAUUUGUCCUUGUGCCUAACAAACCCCCGGCGCGAGAAGCGCCAAGGAAUACUCUAACAAGGGCGAGAUCCAUCCUCUCCCGUUCGCGGGGCUUGGGGAUUGGGGAUAGCUUCUUUAUAAACUGAAACGACUCUCGGCAACGGAUAUCUCGGCUCUCGCAUCGAUGAAGAACGUAGCGAAAUGCGAUACUUGGUGUGAAUUGCAGAAUCCCGUGAACCAUCGAGUCUUUGAACGCAAGUUGCGCCUGAAGCCAUUAGGCCGAGGGCACGUCUGCCUGGGCGUCACGCAUCGCGUCACCCCUCCCCCAAUUCUUGCGGGUGGGGUGGAAUCUGACCUCCUGUGCCUACGGGUGUAGCUGGUCGAAAUUCGAGUCUGGAGUUUAGGACGUCACGACAAGUGGUGGUUGUAUAACAACUCGCGUGUUGUCGUGUGCCCAAACUUUUGUGACUGUAAAGACCCAAAGGCACAUGUCAUCCGCCCCUUUUGGGGUUGGGCGCUUGUGCAACGACCGCGACCCCAGGUCAGGCGGGAUUACCCGCUGAAUUUAAGCAUAUCAA